AGCUCCAAUAGCGUAUAUUAAAGUUGCUGCAGUUAAAAAGCUCGUAGUUGCAUUUCCGAGGCAAGGGAUUAGUCCGACCUUUGGUGGGUAUUUAAUCCUCUUGCCUCGUCCUUGAGUGGUGCUUCUUGGUAUUAAGUUAUCGAGGAGAUAGCCGCUCAUCGUUUACUGUGAGAAAAUUAGAGUGUUCAAAGCAGGCUUAUGCCGUUGAAUAUAUUAGCAUGGAAUAAUAAGAUAGGACCUCGGUACUAUUUUGUUGGUUUGAGAACCAAGGUAAUGAUGAAUAGGGACAGUUGGGGGUAUUCGUAUUCAGUUGUCAGAGGUGAAAUUCUCGGAUUUGUUAAAGACUAACUUAUGCGAAAGCAUUUGCCAAGGAUGUUUUCA
This 381-nucleotide ribosomal RNA is filed under the name uncultured marine Chaetocerotaceae. Its description in RNAcentral is "SSU rRNA". It matches the Rfam family "Eukaryotic small subunit ribosomal RNA", at positions 587 to 972 of the family's 1831-position model. Lineage: Eukaryota; Bacillariophyta; Thalassiosirophyceae; Chaetocerotales; Chaetocerotaceae. The record is from RNAcentral.